Molecule: ribosomal RNA, 301 nt
Filed under: uncultured bacterium
Lineage: Bacteria
Description: partial 16S ribosomal RNA
Rfam family: Bacterial small subunit ribosomal RNA
Source: RNAcentral
CAGCAGCCGCGGGAAUACGGAGGGGGCUAGCGUUGUUCGGAAUUACUGGGCGUAAAGCGCACGUAGGCGGCUUGGUAAGUUAGAGGUGAAAGCCCGGAGCUCAACUCCGGAAUUGCCUUUAAGACUGCCGAGCUAGCAGGUGAGAGAGGUAAGUGGAAUUCCGAGUGUAGAGGUGAAAUUCGUAGAUAUUCGGAAGAACACCAGUGGCGAAGGCGGCUUACUGGCUCAUACUGGACGCUGAGGUGCGAAAGCGUGGGGAGCAAACAGGAUUAGAUACCCCAGUAGUCCCUGUCUCUUAUAC